This 201-nucleotide long non-coding RNA is filed under the name Elaeis guineensis (African oil palm). RNAcentral's name for it is "long non-coding RNA (EGUI_LNC035588)". The record is from RNAcentral. Lineage: Eukaryota; Viridiplantae; Streptophyta; Magnoliopsida; Arecales; Arecaceae.
GUCUUGAUAAUUUUAUUUGAUGAUGAUCAAACUAGGAUAUGAAUUGUUUAAUAGAAAUCAAGGGUGAUCAAAUCAGUAGUGUUCAAUAAGAGUCAAGAUGGAGGCCAACACGAUGCUCGAUGAUCAAAGAUUAGUUUGAUUAAAUAAUUUUAUUUAAUCAAGAUCGUAUUAAGAUACAAUUGGCUCCAUAAAGAUCAAAUA